CCAUUCAAAUCUAAGAUGUAGGACGAAUCAGCCACCAUUGUUACUUUCAUUCGAAGUUUCGUGCACGUAUUUACACGUCAUGCACAAUUUAGAGAAGAAAUCCAGCGUACCGGGGGCAGACUCGACUAGAAAAAGGAAACUCGCCCGCAAUGAACUUAACUGUUCUUCAAGGUAAAAAGAAGGGAGGGAGAAACGAGAGGAACACAUGACGGGAUUGAGACUUGGAAGCGUUGCUCUCAAGUCAGCGAGGGGCAUCUAAAAUUUUCAAUCAGAUUUCACUCAUCUCACUUGGUUUGAAAGUUUGAAAAAUUGCGUGGUGUUGAUUCAAUCAUGCAAACGGCAAUUGUUGUGCUUAUCGUUAAUAUUGUUGUGUUAAGCAACAAAGCAGUGAUGGGGAGGAAAAAAGGAGAAGGUGAUCCUCCCUGCCGACUUUUGACGUCCCCCGUGAAGGAAGGAAAUAUGAAGGACAUACCGAUACACAUCAAUGGACAGAAAUUCAGUUA
Long non-coding RNA from Tigriopus californicus, 503 nucleotides. RefSeq lists it as uncharacterized. NCBI's taxonomy places the organism in Eukaryota, Metazoa, Arthropoda, Copepoda, Harpacticoida, Harpacticidae. The record is from RefSeq and is a predicted model, not a curated record. The transcript has 3 exons.